AACCAUUCUCACCUGCGGCUAGACCUGCGGAAGGAUCAUUACCGAGUUUACAACUCCCAAACCCCUGUGAACAUACCAAUUGUUGCCUCGGCGGAUCAGCCCGCUCCCGGUAAAACGGGACGGCCCGCCAGAGGACCCCUAAACUCUGUUUCUAUAUGUAACUUCUGAGUAAAACCAUAAAUAAAUCAAAACUUUUAGCAAUGGAUCU
RNAcentral lists this unclassified non-coding RNA (208 nucleotides) under soil metagenome. Its description in RNAcentral is "partial contains 5.8S ribosomal RNA, internal transcribed spacer 2, and large subunit ribosomal RNA". The record is from RNAcentral.